GCGUUAGAUGUGGACCCGAGUGCUUGAUUUGACAGCACACCCAGGAAGGUUGGCAUGGCCCCUGUAGAAGGGUGACACAUAAAUUCCUGAAGCAUUCCAUGUUUUA
RNAcentral lists this small nuclear RNA (106 nucleotides) under Octodon degus (degu). Lineage: Eukaryota; Metazoa; Chordata; Mammalia; Rodentia; Octodontidae. The record is from RNAcentral.